GAGUUUGAUCCUGGCUCAGGACGAACGCUGGCGGCGUGCCUAAUACAUGCAAGUCGAGCGAACCGACGGGAGCUUGCUCCCUUAGGUUAGCGGCGGACGGGUGAGUAACACGUGGGUAACCUGCCUGUAAGACUGGGAUAACUCCGGGAAACCGGGGCUAAUACCGGAUGCUUGAUUGAACCGCAUGGUUCAAUUAUAAAAGGUGGCUUUUAGCUACCACUUACAGAUGGACCCGCGGCGCAUUAGCUAGUUGGUGAGGUAACGGCUCACCAAGGCGACGAUGCGUAGCCGACCUGAGAGGGUGAUCGGCCACACUGGGACUGAGACACGGCCCAGACUCCUACGGGAGGCAGCAGUAGGGAAUCUUCCGCAAUGGACGAAAGUCUGACGGAGCAACGCCGCGUGAGUGAUGAAGGUUUUCGGAUCGUAAAACUCUGUUGUUAGGGAAGAACAAGUACCGUUCGAACAGGGCGGUACCUUGACGGUACCUAACCAGAAAGCCACGGCUAACUACGUGCCAGCAGCCGCGGUAAUACGUAGGUGGCAAGCGUUGUCCGGAAUUAUUGGGCGUAAAGCGCGCGCAGGCGGUUUCUUAAGUCUGAUGUGAAAGCCCCCGGCUCAACCGGGGAGGGUCAUUGGAAACUGGGGAACU
RNAcentral lists this ribosomal RNA (652 nucleotides) under Bacillus sonorensis. RNAcentral's name for it is "bacterial SSU rRNA". It matches the Rfam family "Bacterial small subunit ribosomal RNA", at positions 9 to 642 of the family's 1533-position model. Lineage: Bacteria; Bacillati; Bacillota; Bacilli; Caryophanales; Bacillaceae. The record is from RNAcentral.